GAUACUCAUUUCGAACAUGAUGAUUGUUGAUGUGUGGAAGAGCUUGUAUGUGCAUCUUGAAAGUAUUAAGAGGGUUUGUCCCUGUAGUAUAUUACAAUUUCCCUAGUCUGUUGGGUCUUUAAAGAGAGUCGCCUCAAUAUAAGCUUUAAAGCAGCUUGGCCAGACCAUGCACUUGAGGCGGUAUGCCCUUGUAUUAGCCUUGGAGGGAUUCGUCCUCAACUUAUC
This 225-nucleotide long non-coding RNA is filed under the name Lathyrus oleraceus (garden pea). RNAcentral describes it as "Pisum sativum (pea) long non-coding RNA (PSAT_LNC010143)". Lineage: Eukaryota; Viridiplantae; Streptophyta; Magnoliopsida; Fabales; Fabaceae. The record is from RNAcentral.